This 495-nucleotide ribosomal RNA is filed under the name Cryptosporiopsis sp. CJL-2014. Its description in RNAcentral is "eukaryotic LSU rRNA". The stretch from base 142 to 295 matches the Rfam family "5.8S ribosomal RNA". The record is from RNAcentral. Lineage: Eukaryota; Fungi; Ascomycota; Leotiomycetes; Helotiales; Dermateaceae.
UCCCACCCUGUGUCGUUAUACCUUCGUUGCUUUGGCGGGCCGCGGGGCCCCGGCCCCGCCCCUGGCUCCGGCUAGGGCGCGCCCGCCAGAGGACCUCAAAACCUGAAUGUUAGUGUCGUCUGAGUACUAUAUAAUAGUUAAAACUUUCAACAACGGAUCUCUUGGUUCUGGCAUCGAUGAAGAACGCAGCGAAAUGCGAUAAGUAAUGUGAAUUGCAGAAUUCAGUGAAUCAUCGAAUCUUUGAACGCACAUUGCGCCCCUUGGUAUUCCGGGGGGCAUGCCUGUUCGAGCGUCAUUACAACCCUCAAGCUCUGCUUGGUCUUGGGCGUCACCGGUCCCGGUGUGCCUUAAAAUCAGUGGCGGCGCCAUCUGGCUCUAAGCGUAGUACAUACUCUCGCUACAGACGUCCGGUGGAUGCUGGCCAGCAACCCCCAACUUAUCAAGGUUGACCUCGGAUCAGGUAGGGAUACCCGCUGAACUUAAGCAUAUCAAUAA